GGCGGACGGGUGAGUAGCGCGUGGGAACCUACCUUGCAGUACGGAAUAACUGUUGGAUACGGCAGCUAAUACCGUAUACGCCCUUCGGGGGAAAGAUUUAUCGCUGUUGGAUGGGCCCGCGCCUGAUUAGCUUGUUGGUGAGGUAAUGGCUCACCAAGGCUACGAUCAGUAGCUGGUCUGAGAGGAUGAUCAGCCACACUGGGACUGAGACACGGCCCAGACUCCUACGGGAGGCAGCAGUGGGGAAUAUUGGACAAUGGGGGCAACCCUGAUCCAGCCAUGCCGCGUGAGUGAAGAAGGCCUUAGGGUUGUAAAACUCUUUCACCAGGGACGAUGAUGACGGUACCUGGAGAAGAAGCCCCGGCUAACUCCGUGCCAGCAGCCGCGGUAAUACGGAGGGGGCUAGCGUUGUUCGGAAUUACUGGGCGUAAAGCGCGCGUAGGCGGUUUAUCAAGUCAGACGUGAAAUCCCCGGGCUCAACCCGGGAACUGCGUUUGAUACUGGUUGACUAGAGGCCGGGAGAGGGUAGUGGAAUUCC
Molecule: ribosomal RNA, 538 nt
Filed under: uncultured Alphaproteobacteria bacterium
Lineage: Bacteria; Pseudomonadati; Pseudomonadota; Alphaproteobacteria
Description: bacterial SSU rRNA
Rfam family: Bacterial small subunit ribosomal RNA
Source: RNAcentral